Molecule: long non-coding RNA, 2907 nt
Organism: Halichondria panicea
Lineage: Eukaryota; Metazoa; Porifera; Demospongiae; Suberitida; Halichondriidae
Exons: 3
Source: RefSeq, a predicted model, not a curated record
UACCCUCCCCUUGUGCAGUGAUUGGGUGAGUCUGGAGGGUGUGGUUUAGAAAGGAUUCCUCUCUAAAACAGUCAACUCUCUCUUCACCAAUCUCCUGGAACUGGCCAAAACUCUCUGCACUAGCCCUGCUAACACACUCGCUUUCUACCAACUCGUAUUUCUCCUGACACUGGAAUUCUCAUAUCAAAGGCUCUCAGAUAUACUGGUCUUCCUACACCAGCUGCAAGAGCUUGCUGUGAAGGAGAAAGGUCUUGAGGCACAUCACAGAGUGGUGCUACAUGCUACAGUGGCAGGUGUGCUGUAUCUAGCGCCCAAGAUUAGUCGAAACGAGGUACUCAAGACGCACAUCGAUGGAGUGAUUGCUAAGAGGAAGGAGACAGCUCCGAAGGCUAUUGUGGGACAUUCUUCUAGAAGGGUGAGUGUGUGUGUAUGGGGGGGGGGCAGUCUUCUAAAGGGUGAGCAGUGUGUCAUACAGGGGGGAAGGGGGAUAUUCCCCCUAGCUCCAAUUCCCCCCCCCCCUAAAAUUUGCAUGUAGGUACUAGUUGGGGUCCAUAGCUGGCAAUUUUACAUACUAACAGCAAGAGUUCGUCUAUUAUGAACUCUCUUGCUAACAGUUUGACCCUUUACCAGUAAAUUUGGUAAUGAUCAUCACAUAUAUUUGCUCUCAAUACUAAUUACAAUGUUGUUUGCAUGAGAGUAGAUCUUUACCAAAUGCAUUAUUUUGUUUUCCUUUUACCUUCUAGAAGCAGGGGCGUAGGGAGGGGCAGGGCUUUGGGGGCUGGAGCCCCCCCUUCCUCUGCAAAAGCCACACUAAGAGCCCCACCUUCUCUGAUGACUGUCUUUAGCCUGGGAAUUACUGGUAUAGAUUAGUGGCAGACAAACAGCAUGUCCAAGAGCUAGCUAUACUAUACUAGUAACUUUAAUUCUUCAGUGUAACUAAGCUAGCUAGCUAGAUCUAGCUUCUUAUUUAGCAUGCAUGCAGUUAAUAUUUAAUUGAAGCAGGUGUGGCUAUAAACUAUUUCUUGCACAUGCGCAAUGCACUGUGCAACUGAUCAAUAAUCUACCACAGAGGUUGAUUUGAGAGCAGCAACUAUGUCACAGAAACUGGACCACUAUUUCUCAAGGCCAAGAUCUAGUACCAACUUGCCAAGCUCUAGUGCCAGCUUGCCAAGCUCUAGUACUGCCAGCCUGAGUACUGAUGAAGAGCCAGCAAAGUAACUGAUCAGCUACAUUAUCAUAAUAUAAUUAUAUUAUGUAAAUAAUUAUUAGCAAUGUUUUCAUGCAUAUUAAUCAUUAUUACAAGUACAAAAAAAUUGUAACAUCAUAAAAAUUAAUUAGCAAGUACAACAAAAUUAAUAUUCCCGGAAAUUAGUCAUUAAUUAGGAGGUGUGGUUUCCGGUCGCCGAAAAUUUUCGGAGACUUCGCGCCAGAAACCAGCUUUUCAGCUCAGCCCCCCCUUCCUCAAAAUCCUGCCUACGCCCCUGAGAAGUGCAGUCAUCUAGACAUGGAGGAGAAGCUGCUCAAGAGAUAUCAAAUCAUGGACCCGGGUGUCAUGGCUGAGCUGGAGUGAAAAUUGGAACUAUGCAGAUUUUGUGUGUGUUAUGUCACUGUGAUCGACCCACCCCAUGCUGGAGGUUGAUGUGAGUUGAGACUGAGAAUGAUGCCCUGUCAGUAAUGAACCCGAACACUCACUCUCAUGCCUUCAACAAGUUUAGGGGGGAAUUUUGGGAAAUCUGAGUGCUCCCACCCCUCUUCAUGAAACCCUGAUUGUAACCACAGACACUUGAGAUACAAUGUGCUAGCCCUUGUAAAGGUACUUGAUAAUUCAUUGCAAACAUCCUAAUUUAAGAUUUCACGACAGCCAGGGUUUGGGUGAACCUUUAUGUAUAGUGAUGUAAUAGGAGGUGUGGUCAACAUUUUUCGGUGCACGUACACCUUCCCCCCCCCCCCAGUUUUUAUCCUAUGAAACCCUGACAGCAUGUGACGAAGGUUGAACAGAACGCCUACUACGGUUUUAAGUAUGUGGAGUUGCAUACUCUUCCUAAUGAAGUUGCUAGUACAGUGGUUUUCCUUUGCAAGAGCACUGCAACCACAAUGUAGUGAUUACCUCUGUCUGUGUGUUAUUUUAAUCCACCCACAUGCACCACCCACACAUCACAAAAUCACAGUAAAGUGAUGCAUCUUACAGACUAUCUAUACUGCAGACUUUCACACAACUUACAGAGUAUGUACUCUACUUGCACAGCAUUAUCAUUCCUCCUACUCAUUUAUGCUUGAUGCUCGAGGUCAACAAGCUGCUUCUGGGAAAUCCCCAUUUUGAGCAACACAAGUUCCUUUCAGAUUUGAUUCACUACAUAUGCAGCGGUAGUUAGACUCACACAUAGAUAGUAAAAGAUAGUAAAUACAGGCCCUCAGCUCCCUAUACAUGCAAGUUUGAGCUUAUAUCAUUCUACCACAAUGAAUCAAGCAACAAGUUAGCUGAGCUACGUACCAUCGCAAUCACUUCAGUUAGACGAAAUAUGAGGAGAGUUGACGCACUGUACAGCUGGAAAAUUUGGUGAUUAUUUGGCGAAUGCAAUACAAUACUAUAUACAGUGACGUUGUGUCCACCAGAACAUUUUAAUUUGGGAAUUUUUCAGUAAAUCGCCCAAUUAAAACACCCAUCAAAUUUCCUUAUUAUAAGGGGUUUACAUUUUACAGGCAAUUCCAAGUUAUGAUUCAGAUUGCUUUUGUUGCCUUGUUAAUACCAGGAGCCCAUAAAUAAGAGAAGGAGCGGCUAACUUCAACGUAUACUCUGGGAUCACGUGUCGUAAUUGCCGGUGGCCUACAUUAUGCAUGUAUGUACAUUAAAUUAGUACAGGACUAGAUAAUUAUUUGUUGAUAAAAAAUAAUGAAUGAAAUGAAAUU